AUACCAUCCACCGCUUACACUAAAAGACAUCUCGUUCACCAAUUUUCCGAUGCAAAAUUUUUCGAAUUUAUCCACUGAAUGAACAAAAAUUUUCAUUGUAUAUCUUUUUAUAACACUUAUUCUACCAAAAAAUUAUACAUUCUGCUCACAUUUCUGCUUAUUUUCGAAAAAAACACGAUAAAUUUGCCUGGUUCUCUGAAAAUAUUCGCGAUUGUAAUUUCGGCACAGUCUUAUUUUCGAACACAAUUCACACUACUACAUUUAUACAUCCAGAGCUGCUAGUUUUAAUUUCAUCAUUUUGACUAAAAUCCCUAAUACUGAACAGCUUUCGUCUACCAACUGGCACCCAGGCUAAAACACAUACACGCUAAUUGGCUUACACCCUUUUGCAAAUUCAGGCAAUUAUUUUUGACAGGUGUUGUAGAAUAAGAACACAGAUACGUAAAGCUGUUGUUUUGUUUGCUUGUACAGGUACCGAAGUGUCUUUAUAGUAUCGAAAACAUAUUUCUAAUAGUUAAUUAGGUUGUAUAAAUGGACACGGCUAUGAAUCGCACGACGAGCCGCUGCAAAAUCGUGCAGGCACCGCCAAAGAAAUUGGCAAUCGAGCCGGCUCUGCUAAUGGAUUUGUCGCUGAGAAAAAAAUUCUGUUGUGAAUGCUUCACAUUUGGAACCAGCACCCGUUUUGAACAAUCCGCAGCGUGAUUUGCAGUCAUCUGUGUUGACGGAAUGUGACCCGCUGCUGUCGCAAAUAUCUCAAUGUUUUGAAUCACUACUUUAUAAUAACAAUACAGGAAAACAGACUCAUCAACGAUACAGUCAGAUGCAUUUGAAUAGCGUCGUGGAAAAGGUUCGCUGUAAGACUUUAACUGUGUAUAAAGCUUGGAAGUCUUUCGGCAUCCCACGAACUACAAUACAAUAUCGUCUCAGCGACAAUUAUAAACAUAAGGGUUCAAGAGGUCCCAGAACAGUGUUUACUGUAGAGGAAGAAAAUAAAAUUGCCAACUGGUUGCUGGAGAUGCAACGAAAAGGGUUUCCUGUUACCGUUGAUAAUUUGAAACAUAAAAUAUCCAGCUACUUAGAAUCAAACCCCAGACCAAAUCUAUUUCGGAAAAAUGUUCCAGGGAAAAGCUGGGUUAAAGGUUUUUUUCAAAGGCACCCAGCGCUCACAAUUAGGAAACCAGAAGCAGUAACGAAAGCCAGUGCAUGCGUGACUGAAAAAGAUAUUAAAAAUUGGUUUCAAACCGUACUUGAUUAUUUCACGGAACACAAUUUGAUAGAUGCACUGAAUGAUGCCUCACGAGUCAUUAAUGGCGAUGAAACAGGAUUCCUAUUGAAUACAUGUCCAUCACGAGUUAUUGCCAAAAAAGGAGACAAGAACAUACCCAUUAUAGAGAUUGCAACAACUAAAAAAAAACAUUACUGUUUUGUACUGCUUUUCCGCCGAUGGAUAUGCCUUUCCACCAGAUGUUAUCUUAGCAUACCGGCGGCUGCCUAAGGAUAUUAUACGUAGCUUUCCUGGUACUUGGGGACUCGACACUAGUGACAAUGGAUGGAUGACUACCAAAAAUUUCGUUCUUUGCAUUAGAAAAUUGAUUUACCCAUCGUUAGUAGAAAGGAAAGUGAAAUUCCCUGUUAUUUUUUUCAUCGAUGGCCAUAAGAGUCAUACGACAUUUGAAGCCGCGGAAGCGUGCCUAGAACUCGGGAUCGUGCUGGUAGCUUUACACCCUAACGCAACUAGAAUCAUACAGCCUGCUGAUGUAGGCAAUUUUGGACCAUUGAAGAAAAGCUGGAACAGAUGUGUGGAAAAUGUCCGACAGCAAGGCCAUGAAAUAACGUUAAAAAAAUUUGGACCAGUACUAGAGCAAGCCAUGAGUGAGUCCUUAAAACAAACAACAAUAAUCAGUUCAUUCCGUCGCUGUGGAAUAUUUCCAUUCAACGCUAAUGCUGUAGACUACAGUAAGUGUUUGGGAAAAUCAGUUGAUCGCGGUAACGGUUCUUCUUUAAACUCUGAGCUUGGAAUUUUUAAUGACACUUUGCAAAAUACUUCUCAACCUUCAACGUCGAAUUCGUUGUGGCCAAUAAAUGAAUCAGAGGAAACACAUCAAUCAGUGAAAGAAAGAGAUUUGAAUUUUUCGAGAGAUUUUAAAGAAGAGGCCGCAUAUAAACUCAUUCAAAUUGAGCCUCAAAGCAUAAAACAGGACCUCAUUGCGGACGAAAUUAGUAACAGCGAAACUAUUAAAAAUAGGCGCUUGUCGGAAUUUUUAUUAACACCACCAACUCCGACACGAAAAGGAAAACAUAUUAAUUUUAAACAAAAGUCAUAUUCAAUUUUAACAGCAGCAGAAAGGUUGACAGAGUUGCGAAUUGAAGAAGAAGGGAAAAAUGCAGAAAUGAAAAAAAAGCCGAAGCGGUCGCGAAAAGAGCAGCACUGAAGGCAGAGAAAAUGCAACAGAAGAAAAUCAAGGACGAAGAAAAAGCUCUGAAAGUGAAGGAGAAGGAACGGAUUCAAGAGUUAAAGGAACAGCAAAACAAUAGCAAAAAAGAAAUGAGAAAAGGUGGAUGUAAAACUAAUCACCAUACCCAACACCCAAUUAGUUUGAAAGUUAUAAGAUAAGUAUUUGGAAAAGAAAAAAUUUAAGAUAGGGAGAUUUAAGAGUUUUUCUUUUACAACAUUUUCAUACAAAAAAAUAGAAUUUGUUAUGAAAUUGUAUAUCGUGUCC
Molecule: RNA transcript, 2720 nt
Organism: Wyeomyia smithii (pitcher-plant mosquito)
Lineage: Eukaryota; Metazoa; Arthropoda; Insecta; Diptera; Culicidae
Exons: 4
Source: RefSeq, a predicted model, not a curated record